UUCCGGUUGAUCCCGCCGGAGGCCAUUGCUAUUGGAGUCCGAUUUAGCCAUGCUAGUUGCACGAGUUCAGACUCGUAGCAGAUAGCUCAGUAACACGUGGCCAAAUUACCCUCUGGAGCACGAUAACCUCGGGAAACUGAGGCUAAUAGUGCAUACGGCUCGACGCCUGGAACUGGCUCGAGCUCGAAAUGCCCCGGCGCCAGAGGAUAUGGCUGCGGCCGAUUAGGUAGACGGUGGGGUAACGGCCCACCGUGCCGAUAAUCGGUACGGGUUGUGAGAGCAAGAGCCCGGAGACGGUAUCUGAGACAAGAUACCGGGCCCUACGGGGCGCAGCAGGCGCGAAACCUUUACACUGCACGCCAGUGCGAUAAGGGGACUCCAAGUGCGAGGGCAUAGAGCCCUCGCUUUUCGUGACCGUAAGGAGGUCACAGAAUAAGUGCUGGGCAAGACCGGUGCCAGCCGCCGCGGUAAUACCGGCAGCACGAGUGAUGGCCGCUCUUAUUGGGCCUAAAGCGUCCGUAGCUGGCCGCGCAAGUCCAUCGGGAAAUCUGUCCGCCUAACGGACAGGCGUCCGGUGGAAACUGCGCGGCUUGGGACCGGAAGACCAGAGGGGUACGUCUGGGGUAGGAGUGAAAUCCCGUAAUCCUGGACGGACCACCGGUGGCGAAAGCGCCUCUGGAAGACGGAUCCGACGGUGAGGGACGAAAGCUCGGGUCACGAACCGGAUUAGAUACCCGGGUAGUCCGAGCCGUAAACGAUGUCUGCUAGGUGUGCCACAGGCUACGAGCCUGUGGUGUGCCGUAGGGAAGCCGUGAAGCAGACCGCCUGGGAAGUACGUCCGCAAGGAUGAAACUUAA
RNAcentral lists this ribosomal RNA (857 nucleotides) under uncultured archaeon. Its description in RNAcentral is "bacterial SSU rRNA". It matches the Rfam family "Archaeal small subunit ribosomal RNA", at positions 1 to 859 of the family's 1478-position model. The record is from RNAcentral.